ACCUGCUCUAUGAUAUUAAAUUAAAUGGCCGCGAUAUUUUGAUCGUGCAAAGGUAGCAUAAUCAUUUGUUUUUUAAUUAAGAACUGGAAUGAAGGGUUGAACGAGAAAAAAACUGUCUCAAUUUAAUUUAAUUAGAAUUUUAUAUUUAAGUUAAAAAGCUUAGAUUAUUUUAAAAGACGAGAAGACCCUAUAGAGUUUUAUAUUGAAAUAUUUUUAAGAGUAAUUUAGAAUCAUUUUUUUUAUAAUUUUUUUAGUAUUUGGUUGGGGUGAUUGAAAAAUUUAUUUAACUUUUAUUUAUGAAUUUCAUUAAUUUAUGUUUAUUUGAUCCUAUUUUAUGAUUAAAAGAUUAAAUUAC
Molecule: ribosomal RNA, 355 nt
Filed under: Helictopleurus semivirens
Lineage: Eukaryota; Metazoa; Arthropoda; Insecta; Coleoptera; Scarabaeidae
Description: partial 16S ribosomal RNA
Source: RNAcentral